This 480-nucleotide ribosomal RNA is filed under the name uncultured Methanosaeta sp. RNAcentral describes it as "bacterial SSU rRNA". It matches the Rfam family "Archaeal small subunit ribosomal RNA", at positions 858 to 1338 of the family's 1478-position model. The record is from RNAcentral. Lineage: Archaea; Methanobacteriati; Methanobacteriota; Methanomicrobia; Methanotrichales; Methanotrichaceae.
AAAUGAAUUGACGGGGAGCACCACGAACGGGUGGAGCUUGCGGUUUAAUUGGAUUCAACGCCGGAAAUCUUACCGGGACCGACAGCAAUAUGAAGGCCAGGCUGAAGACUUUGCCGGAUUAGCUGAGAGGUGGUGCAUGGCCGUCGUCAGUUCGUACUGUGAAGCAUCCUGUUAAGUCAGGCAACGAGCGAGACCCACGCCCACAGUUGCCAGCGUACUCUCCGGAGUGACGGGUACACUGUGGGACCGCCGCUGCUAAAGCGGAGGAAGGAAUGGGCAACGGUAGGUCAGUAUGCCCCGAAUAUCCCGGGCUACACGCGAGCUACAAUGGUUGGUACAAUGGGUAUCUACCCCGAAAGGGGACGGGAAUCUCCUAAAACCAAUCUUAGUUCGGAUUGAGGGCUGCAACUCGCCCUCAUGAAGCUGGAAUCCGUAGUAAUCGCGUUUCAACAGAACGCGGUGAAUACGUCCCUGCUCCUU